RNAcentral lists this ribosomal RNA (490 nucleotides) under uncultured bacterium. Its description in RNAcentral is "partial 16S ribosomal RNA". It matches the Rfam family "Bacterial small subunit ribosomal RNA", at positions 30 to 507 of the family's 1533-position model. The record is from RNAcentral.
AUUGAACGCUGGCGGCAUGCCUUACACAUGCAAGUCGAACGGCAGCAUGAUCUAGCUUGCUAGAUUGAUGGCGAGUGGCGAACGGGUGAGUAAUACAUCGGAACGUGCCCUGUAGUGGGGGAUAACUAGUCGAAAGAUUAGCUAAUACCGCAUACGACCUGAGGGUGAAAGUGGGGGACCGCAAGGCCUCAUGCUAUAGGAGCGGCCGAUGUCUGAUUAGCUAGUUGGUGAGGUAAAGGCUCACCAAGGCGACGAUCAGUAGCUGGUCUGAGGGGACGAUCAGCCACACUGGGACUGAGACACGGCCCAGACUCCUACGGGAGGCAGCAGUGGGGAAUUUUGGACAAUGGGCGAAAGCCUGAUCCAGCAAUGCCGCGUGUGUGAAGAAGGCCUUCGGGUUGUAAAGCACUUUUGUCCGGAAAGAAAUGGCUCUGGUUAAUACCUGGGGUCGAUGACGGUACCGGAAGAAUAAGGACCGGCUAACUACGUG